UACGUAGGGGGCAAGCGUUGUCCGGAUUUAUUGGGCGUAAAGAGCUCGUAGGCGGCUUGGCAAGUCGGGUGUGAAAACUUCAGGCUCAACCUGGAGAUGGCACUCGAUACUGCCAUGGCUAGAGUCCGGUAGGGGACCACGGAAUUCCUGGUGUAGCGGUGAAAUGCGCAGAUAUCAGGAGGAACACCAAUGGCGAAGGCAGCACUCUGGGACGUGACUGACGCUGAGACGCGAAAGCGUGGGGAGCAAACAGG
This 254-nucleotide ribosomal RNA is filed under the name uncultured bacterium. RNAcentral describes it as "partial 16S ribosomal RNA". It matches the Rfam family "Bacterial small subunit ribosomal RNA", at positions 524 to 776 of the family's 1533-position model. The record is from RNAcentral.